Molecule: ribosomal RNA, 253 nt
Filed under: uncultured bacterium
Lineage: Bacteria
Description: partial 16S ribosomal RNA
Rfam family: Bacterial small subunit ribosomal RNA
Source: RNAcentral
UACGGAGGGUGCAAACGUUGCUCGGAAUCAUUGGGCGUAAAGCGCGCGUAGGUGGCCUGUUAAGUCGGGUGUGAAAUCCCUGGGCUCAACCCAGGAAGUGCACUCGAAACUGGCAGGCUUGAGUACUGAAGAGGGUCGCGGAAUUCCCGGUGUAGAGGUGAAAUUCGUAGAUAUCGGGAGGAACACCAGUGGCGAAGGCGGCGACCUGGACGGACACUGACGCUGAGACGCGAAAGCGUGGGGAGCAAACAGG